UCUACGAUAACUUCGUUGCUAUACAAAGAUUUUCGUCAAACAACCUGUCACUCGAAUUCAAGUAUAAGGUGAACUGUUUCAUGAAAAGAUUUGGGAAAAUGAAAAUAGGAAUUUCUAUCGGUGACUUUUUCUACAUUCGAAAAAAUUUUCUGAUACGGGUAGUAAGUGCAUUAUACUCCAUUUUCUCUUCGGUUGUGCAAGUAACCGGAGUGAUGACCAAAAAGAAAACAUGUAAUAUAACUCCUACCUCCAAGGACUCCGCAUCUAAUAGCACUCAAUAUGUGUCUUUAUAGUUUAUCAAUUAUUACACUACUGAAAGUUCGUGUAAUUAAUUAAGUAAAAAAAUAUUUUACGAAAAAUGCUAUAAAGUACAAAUAGUUUGAAUAAA
This is a long non-coding RNA of Centruroides sculpturatus (bark scorpion), 388 nucleotides long. RefSeq lists it as uncharacterized. The transcript has 3 exons. Lineage: Eukaryota; Metazoa; Arthropoda; Arachnida; Scorpiones; Buthidae. The record is from RefSeq and is a predicted model, not a curated record.